AGUGAGCGGCAGAGCUCAAUUUGAAGCUGGCUCCCUCGGGGUCCGCAUUGUAAUUUGCAGAGGAUGCUUCGGGAGCGGCCCCCGUCUAAGUGCCCUGGAACGGGCCGUCAGAGAGGGUGAGAAUCCCGUCUGGGAUGGGGUGUCCGCGCCCGUGUGAAGCUCCUUCGACG
This 170-nucleotide ribosomal RNA is filed under the name uncultured Aspergillus. Its description in RNAcentral is "partial 26S ribosomal RNA". It matches the Rfam family "Eukaryotic large subunit ribosomal RNA", at positions 104 to 262 of the family's 3401-position model. Lineage: Eukaryota; Fungi; Ascomycota; Eurotiomycetes; Eurotiales; Aspergillaceae. The record is from RNAcentral.